AAGCACCCUUCUGGUAAGCUCUGGAAACACCUAGGUCGUUUCCUGACUUGUAAUAGGAAAUUCCCCUCAACCUUUCAGAACUGAAUCCAGUACUAAGGCUGCCUUCUCUCCUACAAAAAAUAAAAAGCAGAGGAAAAGGAAACAAAGGUCCAACUCUAAAACCCUGGCUGCAAGAUCCUGCCUUUGUCCUCUCUUUAUGUCCUCCGCAAUACCUCCAGAUGACUUCCCUCCCUUAUUACUUCCAAGAUCUCUUAGGAUAUCACUUAUCGCGGUGGCACGUGCUCUUUUAAUCUAAUGAAAUACUCAUGCAGCUUAUUGCUAUUGAUCCAGCAUUUAAUAGCAUUGAAGAGUUUAGAAUCACCUGCAGACAUGAGGGAACACUGGGACUCCCUCUACCUGAUCUUGGAUAAUCAGACUAAACACGUGAUUCCCUACACUUCACAGUGUUUAUACCACCAGCAGACUCCCGAUGCAUCAGGCACUAAAGCAAACUCUCCCAAGGAUGACCUGCUUCAUACAGCUGCAGUUGGAUGAAGAUUAUGAAUGUUUUCUUUCAAGAGUAUCUCUAUGAAACUUUUCCCUCCCCUGUUUCUCUAUAAAAUUCUCUGAUACUUCAUCGUAUGUAUGGGGCUAUAUGUCUGAGAGAAAUAUUUUCCAUUCAGUAGCAAAUUAUCCUUCAAAACGAUACUUAAGAGUUUUAUAAUACAUGCUCCCAAGAGAGAUGGUAAAAGUAGUUCCAUUUACAUCCUUGUCCACCAUGGUCUAACAAUUCAGCCUGUUGGAUUGAGCACUCACACAUGUUCUCUCUCUCUGUUUCCGUAUUGUUCUGUUCUUCUCGCUGUCUCUGUCUCUUUUUCUUUCUCCCCCAUCCAUACACACAGACAAACAAACAUUCUCUCUCUCUCUCUCUUUCUGCCCCCUCUAUUUUUAUUUCAUCGAAAUACAUUCACUAACCAACAAGCCAGACAGAUUUAAUCUUAAAUUUUCAAACAGCUGAGGAAAAACAGGUUAACUAAGACCAUCCCAGAUUCAGACCGAUUUUCAGAAUCUGCUUAGAACAUUUGCAUUUGAAAACAUGAUAUCCAAGUGUAAAAAAAAUUAGCCAAUAAGCUGGCUUACUGGUCACAUGAUUUGAGUCAUCCAAGUCCCACAGAAUA
Molecule: long non-coding RNA, 1157 nt
Organism: Physeter macrocephalus (sperm whale)
Lineage: Eukaryota; Metazoa; Chordata; Mammalia; Artiodactyla; Physeteridae
Exons: 5
Source: RefSeq, a predicted model, not a curated record